RNAcentral lists this ribosomal RNA (164 nucleotides) under uncultured bacterium. RNAcentral's name for it is "partial 16S ribosomal RNA". It matches the Rfam family "Bacterial small subunit ribosomal RNA", at positions 355 to 511 of the family's 1533-position model. The record is from RNAcentral.
UAGGGAAUCUUCCACAAUGGACGAAAGUCUGAUGGAGCAACGCCGCGUGAGUGAAGAAGGGUUUCGGCUCGUAAAACUCUGUUGUUAAGGAAGAACAUAUCUGAGAGUAACUGUUCAGGUAUUGACGGUAUUUAACCAGAAAGCCACGGCUAACUACGUGCCUG